RNAcentral lists this ribosomal RNA (506 nucleotides) under uncultured bacterium. RNAcentral's name for it is "partial 16S ribosomal RNA". It matches the Rfam family "Bacterial small subunit ribosomal RNA", at positions 29 to 523 of the family's 1533-position model. The record is from RNAcentral.
AGUGAACGCUGGCGGUAGGCCUAACACAUGCAAGUCGAACGGCAGCACAGGAGAGCUUGCUCUCUGGGUGGCGAGUGGCGGACGGGUGAGGAAUACAUCGGAAUCUACUCUGUCGUGGGGGAUAACGUAGGGAAACUUACGCUAAUACCGCAUACGACCUACGGGUGAAAGCAGGGGACCUUCGGGCCUUGCGCGAUUGAAUGAGCCGAUGUCGGAUUAGCUAGUUGGCGGGGUAAAGGCCCACCAAGGCGACGAUCCGUAGCUGGUCUGAGAGGAUGACCGGCCACACUGUAACUGAGACACGGUCCAGACGCCUACGGGAGGCAGCAGGGGGGAAUAGUGGACAAUGGCCGCAAGCCUGAUCCAGCCAUACCGCGUGGGUAAAGAAGGCCUUCGUGUUGUAAAGCCCUUUUGUUGGGAAAUAAAUCCAGCUGGCUAAUACCCGGUUGGGAUGACGGUACCCAAAGAAUAAGCACCGGCUAACUUCGUGCCAGCAGCCGCCGUAA